UGAGGAUUAUAAGGAAGGCCAGUA
This 24-nucleotide non-coding RNA is filed under the name Mus musculus (house mouse). The record is from RNAcentral. Lineage: Eukaryota; Metazoa; Chordata; Mammalia; Rodentia; Muridae.